CAGCCCUUAAGGUCUUAGGUGGUUUUAUAGAAGUGAGCCAGAGGUCCUAUCCUUACAGCCUUACAGCUUGAUGUUUGUUUUCAGUUUUAUAGUACUUCCUGUUCUGGAUGUGCACAGCUGUUUUAUUGAAGACUGCUGGUAUUAGAAAGGGUUUUCUAAAAGGACUAAGAGUGGUCGCUAACUGUAUCUCUUCCCUUUAGGACAGUGAGGCCAGGUGGUUUUAGUGGGCCAUCACUCCACGCUCCCAGUACCAACUGGCAUAGCCAAGGCACAGACACCUGCUCUCUCUCUGUGCUAGGGAAGCAGUAAACCAUAGCAAGGAGGAGGACAAACCUCUGGACACAGAAAUCUCCUCAGCUGCCACAGCUAAAUCUGCCAGGAGCUGUAUAUUGAAACCUUUACCUUAGGGAUGGUACACGACCUCACAUGGCUGCUCCUCUUCUCUUCAGAGCACGGGCUCUCCAUGGUCUCUCAUCAAGCAAAGAGAUGGAGAAGAAGGGCUGCAUGAAAAUAAUAAUAACAAGCAUACCAGCAUCAACAAGGUUUCCUGCUCACCCUACGUCCAUUGCUCUUGACUCCUUGAGGCUGGAGAAAAUACACUAAGUGAGAACUUCCUGCAGAUGAGUCCUGGGCUUUUCUCUGUUCCUGAAGCCCCAUUGCAAAGGUGACAGCUCUGUUGCCUGCCCUCCUCUUCUGGCCCUGCACCAUGGGCAGUGGGAGAAACUGAACCAUAGCACUCCACGCUUGCGUUGUCACGCAAAUGACCUCACAUUCUUAUGACAUUAGGGUUGGGUGCCAGUUAGUGGAAGAUCUGAAUACCCUUCCUUACCAGCUGCCCUCAUAGCAUUCCCUUGUGAGAGCUUCCAUAGGGAAGCUGGGAUGACAAUUCCCCCUGCAGUGCCUACAUAGGUGUUACUGCAGGAGUUAGGAAUCUGAUUUCUUCCUUUCGCUCUCCCUAGGAAUCUUUUUGGCCCAUAUGCUUAUUUAAAAAGGUGUGCUCACAAUAAAUUAAUAUCGUCCCUCCA
RNAcentral lists this long non-coding RNA (1025 nucleotides) under Struthio camelus australis. RNAcentral describes it as "lncRNA (ENSSCUG00000010258.1)". The record is from RNAcentral. Lineage: Eukaryota; Metazoa; Chordata; Aves; Struthioniformes; Struthionidae.